This is a non-coding RNA of Nylanderia fulva, 1421 nucleotides long. NCBI's taxonomy places the organism in Eukaryota, Metazoa, Arthropoda, Insecta, Hymenoptera, Formicidae. The record is from RefSeq and is a predicted model, not a curated record.
GGAUAAUUGGAAUUUUCCCAAUUGUGUUGGGUCAUUUGAUGGAAAGCACGUGCAGAUACAAGCUCCGCCCAAUUCGAGGACUUUCAAUUAUAUUUUUCAAUUAUAAGAAAACCUUUAGUGUAGUGCUAAUGGCAGCAUGUGACUACAAAUAUAUGUUUACGCUAGUUGAUAUUGGAUCAUACGGUGGUAAUAGUGAUGGAGGGAUUUUUACUUCUGAAAUUCAUAUGGCUUUAGAAGAAGGAAGAUUAAAUCUUCCUACAGGGACUGCAAAUCUUCCCGGAAGCAAUAUUAAAGGUUUGUUCUUUAUUGCUACACUGAGUUCAUACUGCACUGCACUGAACGGAACUAGUGCAAGCAGGACAUGUUAUUUGUGAGCAAGUAUAAAGAACGCGUCAGUGUAAUAAUCAACAUGGCGAUGAUCUUAAAUGAUUUAUUUGAUUCUUCUGAUGAUGAAAAAAAUAAUAUGUUGUUUCCAUUUCAACCUAUUAUGCGUAACGAUGACGAUGAUUUUUAUGAGUUACACAUGUUACAUCCAAUUUUCGGAUUAGUGCAAAGAAUUGAACAUGUGAAAAUAAACAAUUAUAUCGAACAUAUUGUUCAUAAUUAUAAUAACGUUGAUUUUAUCAUGCAUUUUCGUUUGUCAAGAAGAGCAGCAUAUCAAUUAAUAGACCAAUUUACAGUGUCGGAAAUAUUUACUUCUAUACAAGAUGUGUAUUUAACGAAAUCUAUUUAACUUUAGAUAUAUGAACGUGUACAAAAUAAUAAAAUUAGCGCUGAAAAACAUAUUUUAUGUUAUUUAUGGUUUGUGGGUCAUCAAACAGGAUCUUAUCGAGAUAUAGCAGAUAGAUUCGGAAUAACAAUAAGUGCAUUACAUACAGUAAUAUCAAGAGUAACCGAUUUUAUUUUAGCUUUAGCGCCUAAUAUUAUUAAAUACCCAACUGAUCUCGAAAAAGAACAAACUUCAAACUUUUAUCUACAACAAAAACGAUUUCCUAAUAUAAUUGUGCUAUCGAUGGUUCUCAAAUAAGAAUAGACAAACCUCUUGAAGAUCCUGAUUCCUAUAUAAAUCGGAAACAAUAUUUUUCUAUUCAAGUGCAAGGGACAGUUAAUCAUGACAUGAAAUUUAUUGACGUAUUUAUUGGGUAUCCAGGUUCCGUUCACGAUGCAAGAGUUUUAAAAAAUUUAACACUAUAUAAUGAUCUACAUAAUAUUUGUGGAGAUAAUUAUUACCUGUUGGGAGAUAGUGCUUAUCCCUGUUUGAAACAAUUGAUUGUUCCAUAUAAGGAUAACGGACACUUGACACGUGCACAAAGAUCAUUCAACCAGAAACUAAGCUCAUGCAGAGUUGUUAUCGAAAAUGCAUUUGGCUGCCUCAAGCAAAGAUUUCGUCAGUUAUACCAUUUUAAAUUGCGAGAUAUACC